CAACAAUCUCCCCGCCCCAUCACGCGUGGCCUUCCUCUUGAGCUCUCUCAACAUAAGCAGAGUGAAGCUCUACGACGCAGAUCCAACCGUGCUGUCAGCAUUCGCCAACACAGACGUGGAGUUUGUGAUCGGCCUAGGCAACGAGUACCUGCAGAAGAUGUCCGAUCAGGCCCAAGCUCAGGCCUGGGUCGAGCAGCACGUGAAGCCCUACACAUCCCAGACGAAGAUCAGGUGCAUCACCGUUGGGAACGAGGUCCUCACGGGCAACAACACGCAGCUCAUGUCGUACCUCCUCCCUGCUAUGCAGUCAGUGAAUGCUGCUGUCACCAAUCUGGGGCUAAGCAAGGAGAUAUACGUGACCACGGCCCACUCAUUCGCCAUCCUCAGCAGCUCGUUCCCGCCCUCUGCAGGUGCAUUCAGGCAGGACCUUGCAGAGUACAUCCAAAGCAUUCUCAAUUUCCACACACAGACUCACUCACCCUUCCUCAUAAAUGCUUACCCC
RNAcentral lists this long non-coding RNA (502 nucleotides) under Salvia miltiorrhiza (redroot sage). RNAcentral describes it as "long non-coding RNA (SMIL_LNC008060)". The record is from RNAcentral. Lineage: Eukaryota; Viridiplantae; Streptophyta; Magnoliopsida; Lamiales; Lamiaceae.